CCUACGGGAGGCAGCAGUGGGGAAUAUUGGACAAUGGGGGGAACCCUGAUCCAGCGACGCCGCGUGAGUGAAGAAGUAUCUCUGUAUGUUAAGCUCUAUCAGCAGGGAAGAAAAUGACGGUACCUGACUACGAAGCCACGGCUAACUACGUGCCAGCAGCCGCGGUAAGACGUCGGGAGCAGGCGUUAUCCGGAUUUACUGGGUGUAAAGGGAGCGUAGGCGGUGCAGCAGGUCUGAUGUGAAAGGUCGGGGCGCAACCUCGGGACUGCAGUUGAAACUGUUGAACUGGAGUACAGGAGAGGUAAGCGGAAUUCGUAGUGUAGCGGUGAAAUGCGUAGAUAUCAGGAGGAACUCCAGUGGCGAAGGCAGCAUACUGGAGUGUAACUGACGCUGAGGCUCGAAAGCGUGGGGAGCGAACAGGAUUAGAUACCCUUGUAGUC
Molecule: ribosomal RNA, 440 nt
Filed under: uncultured bacterium
Lineage: Bacteria
Description: partial 16S ribosomal RNA
Rfam family: Bacterial small subunit ribosomal RNA
Source: RNAcentral